This 301-nucleotide ribosomal RNA is filed under the name uncultured bacterium. Its description in RNAcentral is "partial 16S ribosomal RNA". It matches the Rfam family "Bacterial small subunit ribosomal RNA", at positions 509 to 809 of the family's 1533-position model. The record is from RNAcentral.
CAGCAGCCGCGGUAAAACGGAGGGCGCGAGCGUUACCCGGAUUUACUGGGCGUAAAGGGCGUGUAGGCGGCCUGGGGCGUCCCAUGUGAAAGGCCACGGCUCAACCGUGGAGGAGCGUGGGAUACGCUCAGGCUAGAGGGUGGGAGAGGGUGGUGGAAUUCCCGGAGUAGCGGUGAAAUGCGCAGAUACCGGGAGGAACGCCGAUGGCGAAGGCAGCCACCUGGUCCACUUCUGACGCUGAGGCGCGAAAGCGUGGGGAGCAAACCGGAUUAGAUACCCGGGUAGUCCCUGUCUCUUAUAA